AGAGUUUGAUCAUGGCUCAGGACGAACGCUGGCGGCGUGCUUAACACAUGCAAGUCGAACGAUGACGGUGGUGCUUGCACCACCUGAUUAGUGGCGAACGGGUGAGUAACACGUGAGUAACCUGCCCCUCACUUCGGGAUAACCUCGGGAAAUCGUGGCUAAUACCGGAUAUGAGCUCCUGCCGCAUGGUGGGGGUUGGAAAGAUUUAUCGGUGAGGGAUGGACUCGCGGCCUAUCAGUUUGUUGGUGAGGUAAUGGCUCACCAAGACGAUGACGGGUAGCCGGCCUGAGAGGGCGACCGGCCACACUGGGACUGAGACACGGCCCAGACUCCUACGGGAGGCAGCAGUGGGGAAUAUUGCACAAUGGGCGAAAGCCUGAUGCAGCGACGCCGCGUGGGGGAUGACGGCCUUCGGGUUGUAAACCCCUUUCAGUAGGGAAGAAGCGAAAGUGACGGUACCUGCAGAAGAAGCGCCGGCUAACUACGUGCCAGCAGCCGCGGUAAUACGUAGGGCGCAAGCGUUGUCCGGAAUUAUUGGGCGUAAAGAGCUCGUAGGUGGCUUGUCGCGUCUGCCGUGAAAACCCGAGGCUCAGCCUCGGGCGUGCGGUGGGUACGGGCAGGCUAGAGUGUGGUAGGGGAGACUGGAACUCCUGGUGUAGCGGUGAAAUGCGCAGAUAUCAGGAAGAACACCGAUGGCGAAGGCAGGUCUCUGGGCCAUUACUGACACUGAGGAGCGAAAGCAUGGGUAGCGAACAGGAUUAGAUACCCCGGUAGUCC
Molecule: ribosomal RNA, 777 nt
Filed under: uncultured bacterium
Lineage: Bacteria
Description: bacterial SSU rRNA
Rfam family: Bacterial small subunit ribosomal RNA
Source: RNAcentral